UAAACCUAAACGCACGCACACCACACACAAAUCACACUCACAUAGUCACAGUAGAACAGAUUCACAAGUUGUAAUAGUUGAACAGAUUCACAACAUGUGAUUCAUUGAAGAAAUCACAAACACAGAACACACAAACAAAAGUACAAAACUCACAAGACACACACACACACAGAGCAGUGCCGCGAUCUACCGACUCCCAACGGCCACUGCCAACGGAGGCCACACACGCUCCACCUCCAGUGCUGCGAUCUAUUCCUGUCUCUCCGAACUUCGACCAGUCCCCGACGCUGCGCGUCCAGCCGUCUGCGAUCUGCCGUUGCACGUCCGCCCAUCUGCUGCCGCCAACUGCCACCGAUCUGCUGCUGAAAACCCGUCCGUGAUCUGCUGCUCCAAGGCCAAGCCUCCAACCCGAGUACCCGACCCAAGUUUUUGCCCUUUGUGACUUUUGAUUUUGAAGCUUUCAUUUC
This 467-nucleotide long non-coding RNA is filed under the name Citrus sinensis (sweet orange). RNAcentral describes it as "long non-coding RNA (CSIN_LNC001044)". Lineage: Eukaryota; Viridiplantae; Streptophyta; Magnoliopsida; Sapindales; Rutaceae. The record is from RNAcentral.